GCCCCGGUCGUAUAGCCCGGCCAAGUAUGCCGGCCUUUCGAGCCGGAGAACCCGGGUUCAAAUCCCGGCCGGGGCACCA
RNAcentral lists this transfer RNA (79 nucleotides) under Thermoprotei archaeon. RNAcentral describes it as "tRNA-Glu". It matches the Rfam family "tRNA". From Rfam's summary of the family: Transfer RNA (tRNA) molecules are approximately 80 nucleotides in length. Their secondary structure includes four short double-helical elements and three loops (D, anti-codon, and T loops). Further hydrogen bonds mediate the characteristic L-shaped molecular structure. tRNAs have two regions of fundamental functional importance: the anti-codon, which is responsible for specific mRNA codon recognition, and the 3' end, to which the tRNAs corresponding amino acid is attached (by aminoacyl-tRNA synthetases). tRNAs cope with the degeneracy of the genetic code in two manners: having more than one tRNA (with a specific anti-codon) for a particular amino acid; and 'wobble' base-pairing, i.e. permitting non-standard base-pairing at the 3rd anti-codon position. The record is from RNAcentral. RNAcentral also lists the same sequence under 1 other name. Lineage: Archaea; Thermoproteati; Thermoproteota; Thermoprotei.